UGCUGGUGGUGAAGCACCCCGUCUCCGAGUCCUGGGCCUUGCCAGGGGUAAGCC
This is a small nucleolar RNA of Vulpes vulpes (red fox), 54 nucleotides long. The record is from Ensembl. Lineage: Eukaryota; Metazoa; Chordata; Mammalia; Carnivora; Canidae.